AGUGUUGGUGGAGAGUGUCUUUGUAUUAAAGCCGCAAUAUUCAAGACGACACUGAUACUGAACCGCACCUCCGUACUCGUUUCGAGGAUCGUUGGAUCGGGUUGAACACAACACGAGCCGAGCUCGAAGAGGCUCGCCUUCCUUUGAGUAUCGUCAAGUUUACCGACAGAAAGCGGGUAUGUCCAAGCCGCGCCAAAAAUGACGAGCUGCCCCAUAGCUGCCCGGUCCCACGACUCGUGUAUCGGCGAGUCUUGCUCGUGGCUUGCCGAUACACGCGCCGUGGGAUGCCGCCUUAAUAGUU
Sitophilus oryzae (rice weevil) is the source of this 301-nucleotide long non-coding RNA. RefSeq lists it as uncharacterized. Lineage: Eukaryota; Metazoa; Arthropoda; Insecta; Coleoptera; Curculionidae. The transcript is spliced from 2 exons. The record is from RefSeq and is a predicted model, not a curated record.